UUGGGAUAAAGGUUUAGUUGUUGUUAUGUUAUUGUUGAUUCAACCUAAAAUAUGGCACCAAACAUCUCUUUUGAUGAAACAUGUAUAGAUAUGGAUAAAAACAAUUAGUUUUUAAAGAAAAUUUUCCCUAUAAUUAAGGACUGCUUAACUUGGAUUAUUUUGUAAUUAUAUAAUUCUUUUUAGAAAUUGGAAUCCAUAAGGAAUUUGAGAAUUCUUUUAAUGAUAUAAAUUAUUGUUAUACUAAAAAAUAGGAUUAGGGACGGUAAUUCAAGUUGACGGAUUGUGUUCGUGUUGUGUCAAUACAUAAUGAGAAUAAUAUUAGGAUCGACACAAACAUAAUACAAUUUAAUGAACCGUGUCAAGAAUUUAAACAUAAGCACACCCCUUUUAUUGUAUGGGUUAUAUGAUAUAACACACAUAAUAUAAUUAAUAUUAAAUCGUGUCUGGUUAAUUUGACAUGACUCGAUCGAUUUAAUACGCUUAGACACAAUUCAAUUCAUUUAACAUGUUGCACAACUUAACUUGUUUGACACGUUUUGAUAUGAUUCAACACUUUUAAUUUUCAUAAAAUAAUAUAUAAUAUGAAAUUUACACAUUAAUUUUAAUUAUAU
RNAcentral lists this unclassified non-coding RNA (611 nucleotides) under Hevea brasiliensis (rubber tree). Lineage: Eukaryota; Viridiplantae; Streptophyta; Magnoliopsida; Malpighiales; Euphorbiaceae. The record is from RNAcentral.